AGCAUGUGGUUUAAUUCGUAAGCAACGCGAAGAACCUUACCAGGUCUUGACAUCCCUGACAACCCGAGAGAUCGGGCGUUCCCCUUCGGGGGACAGGGUGACAGGUGGUGCAUGGUUGUCGUCAGCUCGUGUCGUGAGAUGUUGGGUUAAGUCCCGCAACGAGCGCAACCCUCGACCUUAGUUGCCAGCAUUCAGUUGGGCACUCUAAGGUGACUGCCGGCUAAAAGUCGGAGGAAGUGGGGAUGACGUCAAAUCAUCAUGCCCCUUAUGACCUGGGCUACACACGUGCUACAAUGGGCGGUACAAAGGGUCGCGAACCCGCGAGGGGGAGCCAAUCCCAAAAAGCCGCUCUCAGUUCGGAUUGCAGGCUGCAACUCGCCUGCAUGAAGCCGGAAUCGCUAGUAAUCGCGGAUCAGCAUGCCGCGGUGAAUACGUUCCCGGGCCUU
Molecule: ribosomal RNA, 446 nt
Filed under: uncultured Anoxybacillus sp.
Lineage: Bacteria; Bacillati; Bacillota; Bacilli; Caryophanales; Anoxybacillaceae
Description: bacterial SSU rRNA
Rfam family: Bacterial small subunit ribosomal RNA
Source: RNAcentral